GAUGAACGCUGGCGGCGUGCUUAACACAUGCAAGUCGAACGAAGCAUUUAAGACAGAUUACUUCGGUUUGAAGUCUUUUAUGACUGAGUGGCGGACGGGUGAGUAACGCGUGGGUAACCUGCCUCAUACAGGGGGAUAGCAGCUGGAAACGGCUGGUAAUACCGCAUAAGCGCACAGUACCACAUGGUACAGUGUGAAAACCUCCGGUGGUAUGAGAUGGACCCGCGUCUGAUUAGCUUGUUGGCGGGGUAACGGCCCACCAAGGCGACGAUCAGUAGCCGACCUGAGAGGGUGACCGGCCACAUUGGGACUGAGACGCGGCCCAGACUCCUACGGGAGGCGGCAGUGGGGAAUAUUGCACAAUGGAGGAAACUCUGAUGCAGCGACGCCGCGUGAGUGAAGAAGUAGUUCGCUAUGUAAAGCUCUAUCAGCAGGGAAGAUAGUGACGGUACCUGACUAAGAAGCUCCGGCUAAAUACGUG
This 481-nucleotide ribosomal RNA is filed under the name uncultured bacterium. RNAcentral's name for it is "partial 16S ribosomal RNA". It matches the Rfam family "Bacterial small subunit ribosomal RNA", at positions 28 to 507 of the family's 1533-position model. The record is from RNAcentral.